UGGCCUAACCUUUUGGGGGGAGCGGUCGAAGGUGGGAUUGGCGAUUGGGACGAAGUCGUAACAAGGUAGCCGUACCGGAAGGUGCGGCUGGAUCACCUCCUUUCUAAGGAGCUGCCUUACACCUGGUUUUAUUUGUUUGAUUGUGGGUGUGCUGAUGCCUUUGUUGGUGUUGGUUUGGUGGUUUUUAGUGGAAAAUUUUUUUGUUGUGGGAAGUUGGCAUGCUGUUGGGGUGUGGGGUAAUACUCCGUGCUGCCUGUGGAUGAUUGAUGGCCUGUGUGGUUGUUGGUUGUUUGUGGUGUUGGUGUGGUGGUUGAGAAUUGUAUAGUGGACGCGAGCAUCUUUGGUUUUUUGUAAGUGCUCCACAGUGUUCGGUGGAUGCCUUGGAAUACGGAGCCGAAGAAGGAAGUCGUUGCCUGCGAUAAGCCUCGGGGCGUUGGCAUACGAGAUGUGAUCUAGCUAUGUCCGAACGGGGGAACCCGGCCAGAGUCGUUUCGGGUUACCACCGCUCUGACUGUAUAGUGUGCUUGGGGGAAGCGGUGGGGCAGUGCAAAC
RNAcentral lists this unclassified non-coding RNA (552 nucleotides) under Arcanobacterium sp. RNAcentral's name for it is "partial contains 16S ribosomal RNA and 16S-23S ribosomal RNA intergenic spacer". The stretch from base 1 to 103 matches the Rfam family "Bacterial small subunit ribosomal RNA", at positions 1431 to 1533 of the family's 1533-position model. The record is from RNAcentral. Lineage: Bacteria; Bacillati; Actinomycetota; Actinomycetes; Actinomycetales; Actinomycetaceae.